AAGCAACACUCUGGCAGAAGACCAAAACUGUCUGACACAAUUUGAGCUUGCUAUAGCAACAAAGUCCAACCUAUUCCAGCAUUCUCUCUUCUGAGACAAGUUGUUACAGACUUAGUGUUU
Molecule: small nucleolar RNA, 120 nt
Organism: Phyllostomus hastatus (greater spear-nosed bat)
Lineage: Eukaryota; Metazoa; Chordata; Mammalia; Chiroptera; Phyllostomidae
Product: small nucleolar RNA SNORA28
Exons: 1
Source: RefSeq, a predicted model, not a curated record